UGUGGCGUGAUGCCAUAUUCUCUGCUGC
RNAcentral lists this non-coding RNA (28 nucleotides) under Homo sapiens (human). The record is from RNAcentral. Lineage: Eukaryota; Metazoa; Chordata; Mammalia; Primates; Hominidae.